Molecule: ribosomal RNA, 266 nt
Filed under: uncultured bacterium
Lineage: Bacteria
Description: partial 16S ribosomal RNA
Rfam family: Bacterial small subunit ribosomal RNA
Source: RNAcentral
GUCCACGCCGUAAACGAUGAGUGCUAGGUGUUGGGGGGUACCGACCCUCAGUGCCGAAGCUAACGCAUUAAGCACUCCGCCUGGGGAGGUACGGUCGCAAGACUGAAACUCAAAGGAAUUGACGGGGGCCCCGGCACAAGCAGUGGAGCAUGUGGUUUAAUUCGAAGCAACGCGAAGAACCUUACCAAGACUUGACAUCCCGCUGACCGCUCUAGAGAUAGAGUUUCCCUUCGGGGCAGCGGUGACAGGUAGUGCAUGGUUGUCGU